AAGGAUCAUUAAUAAAACCCGGGCCAGCGCCCGCACGUUUCAUACAACCCAUCUGUGUACCUCUCCAAGUUGCUUCCGUGCGGCAAGGGGCGUGCCAGCCACGCCCCGGGGGCUCCGGCCCCGCCCACGGGAGGACCCAGCGAACUCAUGUUUGAACCUCGCAUGUCUGACAGGCGUCUCCGGACGCGAAAAAUGUAAAUAAGUUAAAACUUUCAACAACGGAUCUCUUGGUUCUCGCAUCGAUGAAGAACGCGGCGAAAUGCGAUAAGUAAUGCGAAUUGCAGAAUUCAGUGAAUCAUCGAAUCUUUGAACGCACAUUGCGCCCUCUGGUAUUCCGGAGGGCAUGCCUGUUCGAGCGUCAGCAACAAACCCCUCAAGCCCAGGCUUGGUCAUGGCGGCGGUGGGUCACUAUUCGGUGGCCCACCCCAGCUGAAAAUCAUAGGCGGAGGUCCCCUCCCCGGCCCCGGACGUAGUAAUAAACCAUUCGCCCAAAGGCCAGGAAGCGGGAACGCCAGCCUCUAACCCCCAAUGCAUUGACUCUCAGAGUUUGACCUCGGAUCAGGUAGGGAUACCCGCUGAACUUAA
RNAcentral lists this ribosomal RNA (585 nucleotides) under Rhizina undulata. RNAcentral's name for it is "eukaryotic LSU rRNA". The stretch from base 208 to 361 matches the Rfam family "5.8S ribosomal RNA". The record is from RNAcentral. Lineage: Eukaryota; Fungi; Ascomycota; Pezizomycetes; Pezizales; Rhizinaceae.